Molecule: long non-coding RNA, 2071 nt
Organism: Brachypodium distachyon (stiff brome)
Lineage: Eukaryota; Viridiplantae; Streptophyta; Magnoliopsida; Poales; Poaceae
Exons: 2
Source: RefSeq, a predicted model, not a curated record
UCUGUCGCCCCUCUCUCUGCUCUCCCUCCACACCUCCACCUCGCCCUCUCUCUUCUCUCCCUCUCCUUUCCGCGAGGCCUGCCGCUAUCCCUCACCCCCUCACCAGUCCAGCACCGUCCCACCGAAAUCCCAAUCUCUCCUUCCUCCUCUGCAGUCCAUCCUGAGCUCUCCCUCUCCUAUCUUCUCCCUCCUCACUCUCUUCCGUGCCGAGCAGGAGGGAGAGGGCGCCGCCUCCGGUCCCGCCUGCCGUCGCGCAGGAGGGGCAGGCGCAGCCUCCGGUGCCGGCCGCCACCGCCGCGCAGGACGGGAGGCCGACCCAGUCAUCUCUGCCAGGUCCGGCCGACCCCCGGCCAGCUCGUCGCCGGAUCCAGUGACAGAGACUCCGCCGAUAUGUGUCUCUCUCUCCUCUCUUUCUCUCUCUCUCUCUCACCCUCUCUCUCUCUCUCGCCGUCUCUCACAGUUUGUUGAUGGAAGAUCCGGCGUCCCCGACCUCGGCCGCCGACGUGGAGAGCCGAAACCGCGUUGUGGAGCAGUUGUAGGCUUGUAGCUCUGUUUUCUUUUCAUUUUCUCUCUUCUGAUUUUGUAAUUUGUUUCAUCGAUGACCUAAUUUGUGAUUUUUUUCAUCGACGACCUAAUUUGUGAUUUGUUUCGUCGACGACCAAAUUUGUGCCAAAAUUUGCCUGCCUUUUUUUUAAAUCACGAGAAUGAUAUCAAUGGCGGGUCCUAGGUGUGACCGCCAGUGAUGCGUACGGCCCGCCACUGAUGGUCUGCUCACCGUUGGCAUCCAGUCGCUGAUAGCAUUUUAAGCCCUUUACGAUGUCAUGUUUCGUAGUAGCGUUAGUCUGACAAGCUGAGCACGAAACGAGUAGAGCUGCUUGCCGAGUAUCGAGUAAAGUCCCAACGCCACAUAGUGGGGGGCGCGCAUGCACAGGGGAGCACCGGAGAGCGAGCAAGAGUCGGCACUUCGUUGCAUGAAAUGGAGAUUUCUCACCAGCUUAAUUAUUUCCGAACUAGUAAAAGCAUCUCUGCCAAAUUCCGCAUAUGGUCGAUCCGAACUGAGUUUACGGAUUUGAGCCAAAAAAAACGGCCCCAACAGAUUCCUCGAAAAAACGCGUUUAGGUUUACACGAAAAACUCACGAACGGUCGCAUAUAUGCCUACACACGGUUCCAGUUCGGUGUCCUCACCCCACUUUCCGCCGCCCACAUCUGCCGCCAAAUCCCUACCCCGCCGCCCAAAUCCUCCACCCAUUUUCCAUCUUCCCCAGCUCCGGCCACCCAAAAUUCUCCCCUUCCGUCCCAAUGGUUCACAGCGACCGCUCGGCGGGGCCGGCCGCUCGUCGUACCGCUUCCCCACGCGGGCAGGGAAACCCAGCGGCGGCCACGGCGGAGGGGCCGACGACGAGGCGGCGUGGCUGCGGCACUCCCUCACGGCUCGGAGCUCGCAAGUGGGCGUCUACCGUGACCUCAGAACGCGAGGUCGCCAAGUUCGUCUUGGUGGAGUUGGCUGCGUUGGCGGCGGGGAGCUCGAGCGGUGCACGCGCCAUGAGCACUCCGCGGCAAGAGGUCAAUUGAACUGUUCGGAUCAACCACACGGAGAAUCUGCUAGAUAUGCUCAAUUUCUUCGCAUCUUCUGAACUGCAUUUUCGGAUUCAGCUCAAUUGAACAGUUCCGAUCAACCACACGGAGGAUCUGCUAGAAAUGCUCAAUUUCUUCGCAUUGUGCGCCCAACGAAAACAGAGAGUGCCGUGGGUGACUGUUUAUGGAGCUGCGCGUCACAGAAAGCUGCCGCCCUUUGCCGGUCCCAACACUUGAGACGCAGAUUAAUUUGCACACAGUAAUGGAGGGGAUCUUCGGUUCGGCGACACCACCCUCCUCAUCGAGUGGUAGAAACCGUGCAUUUUGAGCUUAAGUUAGGCUGGACGUUUCCAUGACCGCCGCCAAGAUCCAGAUCUCUGUACGCCACGGACGCAACUGCAAAUCCGACGUCCGUCUCUUCCAUGAUGCUCUAGUUAUAGGUAUUGAUCGAUCAAGCUUGUUUUUUUUUUUGGAGAAUGAUCGAUCGAGCUCGUA